AUUUAUUAGCAUGAUUUCUUUUUAAUAUGUUGUGUACAGACUUAAUUACUUCUCUGUCUACUUUUCUUACUCCAUGUAGGUUUCCCAGAGACGAUGGGUUGAGGAGGAAUUGGAAGUUUGUUGGCUUAGACCUGGUGUCAUUCCAUCAGUGUUAAACUUCCCGGCUCAUCUUGGAAGAGUACGUGCCAGAAAGACCACGACCAAGCAGCCUUGAGAUCUUAGGCAGCGUCUCCCUGAGACCAAAGAACUACAGACUCUUCACAACCUGCUCAAACUCUUGGUACAGGACCUCACCACACGGGUCAAGAAGGUUUCCAUCUCAUUUCUACUCUGAAGCUCACCUUCUCCUGCUCAAACUGCUGAUAAAUGUUUCUGCUGCUCUAAAGUCUGGUCUCCAGAACUUCCUAAAAACUCUC
Long non-coding RNA from Amphiprion ocellaris (clown anemonefish), 416 nucleotides. The record is from Ensembl. NCBI's taxonomy places the organism in Eukaryota, Metazoa, Chordata, Actinopteri, Pomacentridae.